UAUGCUAUUUAUAUGAGUUUUGAUUUGUUGUUUGCUACACAAAUACUCCAUUUCAACAAAUUUUGCUUAGCCUUUAUAGUAAAAAAUUUCAAGCAGGCUGUCAUUGUAUUAACGAUAUAUAAAUUAUCACCACUCACACCUUUCUUUUUUCCUACUUUCAUUUGAUCUCUUCUUAAAGUAUCUAUUUUAAAGUGAUGUACAGUUAUUUAGACCAUUUUCUGAAGUAUUUUUCAUAGAUGAUGUAACUAAAAUUGGGAGUCCUUAGUUUUUGUUUCAGGUCCAUGGGUAAAUUAUCAUUUAUCUGUCCAUAAGAUUCUUUGGCCUUUUUUGCCCAAUGAUCUACUAACAUUUUUAAACUACCAAUUUUAAUAUAUUUCUUUGAAAUAGAAAUAAAUUGUUUCAUCUAUUUGAAAGAUUCUAGUUUUUAAAAAAAAUGCUCAAAAUUCCAAAAUCCUGGAAGAUCGUCAGUCUAGCUCUCCCUUCCACCAAGACUCACAUAGGCACACACUCAAAAUUUAUUCUGUCUUUUUUUCCUGGGCAUAUACUUGUUUAGCUUUUCUACUUCUCUAGCUUUUUUGGUGAUUGGGCUGAAUCAAGUGUCUGCCAAAGGAGCACAGUUGGAGAGAUGCAUACAUCCUUCGUUUCACACGUCUUCAAAGAUAACGGCUGCUCAUGACUUAUUUUCUCUCCCCGUGGGCUGGAGCACAGAGAGGGUGGCCGCCAAGCUGAUGAGGACAAAGCCCUUGGGGAUGGUGUUAACCACGAUACAGCAGAAACCACCUUCCUGAUUUAUCUCGUGAAACAGACUUUCCCCUCCAGGUUACAGUAGUCAGACUGCCUGAAUUAUUAAUCAAUUCCCUAUUCAUCAACCAAAUUCCACUGUGGGAUUGCUGUGUGCUCAGCGAUUAACAGGUCCUUGUGGUGCAAUGAUGGACCACACCAUGAGAAUGUAUUCUGCUCACAACGAGCUUACAACACAUGUAGUCAAGGAAGACAUGGGGGCAAGCAACUGGAAGUGCUGAGAAGAUGUGAAGAAUGACGUGGAAGGGAAUGUUAAUCUGGUUCAUCGGAUGCAAAGACGGUGGAGGUAAGAAAACCUUCCUUGAAGAGGAGGCAUUUAAACUAAAAUCUGAAGAAGAAAGGAUGAGAAGGGGCAGGGUGGGUCCUCCGUGGACGUGGUGGGAAGUCCCAGGGAGAGGAUGGCUGCAGAGGAGAAAAGCAAGAGAUGGUGUAA
This is a long non-coding RNA of Phyllostomus discolor (pale spear-nosed bat), 1234 nucleotides long. RefSeq lists it as uncharacterized. The transcript is spliced from 2 exons. The record is from RefSeq and is a predicted model, not a curated record. Lineage: Eukaryota; Metazoa; Chordata; Mammalia; Chiroptera; Phyllostomidae.